CGCGCGGCGCGCCUGCUGGCUGUUGACGACAGCGGUCGCGUGCCCGCGCACAGUCUGUCAGUGGCGGGAGAGCGCGGGCAGUGCGUGCUUCUCCUCCUCACCGGCAGCACCAUGACCGAGUGCGGCCGCCGCAGCGGCGACCACCGGAGCUCCUCCGGCUGCAAGCGCGCCCGCAAUGGGGAGAACAAAGUGACGGUGGCCCUCGGCGCGCAGUGGGGCGACGAGGGGAAGGGCAAGGUGGUCGACCUGUUGGCCACCGACGCCGACAUAGUGUGCCGCUGUCAGGGUGGAAACAAUGCAGGCCACACUGUUGUGGUGGAUGGAAAGGAAUACAAGUUUCACCUUUUCCCAAGUGGUAUUAUUAAUCAAAAAGCUAUCUCAUUUUUAGGGAAUGGUGUUGUAAUACAUCUGCCUGGAUUGUUCGAAGAAGCUGAGAAAAAUGAAAAAAAAGGCUUAAAAGAUUGGGAGAAGAGGCUGAUUAUUUCAGACAGAGCACAUCUAGUGUUUGAUUUUCAUCAAGCAGUUGAUGGCCUCCAAGAGAUCCAGCGGCAAGAGCAAGAGGGGAAAACUAUUGGCACAACAAAAAAAGGCAUAGGACCAACAUAUUCUUCCAAAGCAGCACGCACUGGUCUCCGUGUCUGUGACCUUUUGGCUGACUUCAGUGACUUCAGUGGCAGAUUUAAACUUCUGGCUCAGCAAUAUCAGUCCAUGUUCCCAAGUCUGAAAAUCGACAUUGAAGGACAGCUUAAAAAAUUAAAGGAAUACGCAGAACGUAUCAGGCCAAUGGUACGAGACGGUGUUUACUUUAUGUACGAAGCUAUUCAUGGUCCACCUAAAAAGAUUCUUGUGGAAGGUGCCAAUGCAGCGUUACUAGAUAUCGAUUUUGGAACAUAUCCGUUUGUGACAUCCUCUAAUUGCACUGCUGGAGGUGUGUGUACAGGACUGGGAAUCCCUCCAUCAUGCAUUGGAGCUGUGUAUGGGGUCUUCAAAGCCUACACCACCAGAGUUGGGAUUGGAGCAUUCCCAACUGAACAAAUAAACGAAAUUGGUGAAAUGCUUCAGUCACGAGGCAAUGAAGUGGGUGUAACGACGGGAAGGAAGAGGCGUUGUGGCUGGUUAGAUCUAGUCAUACUGAAAUAUGCUAAUAUGAUCAAUGGAUUCACUGCCUUGGCACUAAUGAAGCUGGAUAUUCUGGAGACCUUUGAUGAGAUUAAAAUCGGUUUAGCAUACAAACUGAAUGGAAAGAGAAUUCCGUAUUUUCCAGCAAACCAGGAGAUUCUGAAUCAGGUGGAGGUUGAAUAUGAAACACUUCCGGGCUGGAAGAGCAACAUCACCGCUGCACGAACAUGGGAUGAUCUUCCUCCAAAGGCUCAAAACUACAUCAGAUUCAUUGAAAACCACGUGGCAGUCCCAAUUAAAUGGAUUGGAGUUGGAAAAUCAAGGGAGUUUAUGAUCAAACUUUUCUAAGAAAAUAACAGGACAAGACUGGAUAAUUUGAACAAACAACCAUUUUAUUUGAGGAAAUAUAACUGACUGCUUUCCUAUUUCAAUUCAAAACUGUUUUAUAGUUGAACUGUUCCCAAUAUAGUGUAAAGUAUAAUUAUUUCACAAUAUCAGUUGUGUAUAUUAACAGUAAUGUAUUUUUAACUGAAGGAAGAAAUACUUGAAAUACUUUUCUUGCUGUUCAUGUUCAUAUUGAAACAAAGUAUGGCAUCGAACCGCUGAUUGCAAUUUCCUUUAAAUGUUGAAUGAAAGACAUGUAAUACUCAUGAUCAAUUACACCUGGAGUAAUAUCUUUAAAACCACUCCAUAAUUUGUGCCUUUAAUGGCGGUUUUACUAAAAAAUCAUUCAUUUGCAUCUACUUUUUAAUUUUGUGAACUAACAUGGUAUAAAAAUGCAUGAUUUGCAGUGUUGGAUGUAUCCUGUUUGUGUUGUUUGCAAUGAUAUAUACAGUAAAUCAGUCGGCUCACUCGUAUGAUAUAAAUUCUACACCACAGCUUCUUGUUUUUAUUUUAAGUAUGCCAGUAGAAUUUUUUUUUUUUAAGUAUACCAUAAUGAAAUGUUUUAAUAUAAUUAAUGAUGGCUUAAAUUACUUGGCAAUAGGUAAACAAUAUUCAAAUCAAAAUGUAAAAUAUUUGCUGAAAAAUUGCAGUCUAUGGCUUGAGUUGAACUAUUUAUUAAACAAAAAUGAGACAAACACUUUAUUUGAUAUUUGGCUUUAUCAAAAUAUCUUCGAGCUGUUGAUCUUUUUGAAAAUCAGAAAUGGUGCUUCUAUUUCCAAGUGCCCUGUAAGAUAUAUUAAGCAACAUAAGUAAUGCAUGACUUGAGAUUAUGUAACCACUCUAAUGAAUCAAGUUUCACUCAUCUGUUAGUUCUAACUUACGUCAGGGUUAAUGUUGUAUGAUGAAUCAUAUUCUGUCUUCCAUCGAUAAGUAUCAGGUUCCCCAAAUAUAUCUUUUGGGAUUCUUUUUGGUGUCUCACUUGAUUGUUGAAAAUUACUGUAAGGACUGACUUCACAAUUUAAUUCUUCAAUUCUUCUUGCAUAAUCUGCACUGUUAUUAAUUCUGCCUUUACAAAGUUCGACAGUCCCUAAAGGAGGCACAAUAGAAGU
Molecule: RNA transcript, 2612 nt
Organism: Leucoraja erinaceus (little skate)
Lineage: Eukaryota; Metazoa; Chordata; Chondrichthyes; Rajiformes; Rajidae
Gene: adss1
Gene name: adenylosuccinate synthase 1
Exons: 14
Source: RefSeq, a predicted model, not a curated record